RNAcentral lists this ribosomal RNA (449 nucleotides) under uncultured bacterium. RNAcentral's name for it is "partial 16S ribosomal RNA". It matches the Rfam family "Bacterial small subunit ribosomal RNA", at positions 29 to 523 of the family's 1533-position model. The record is from RNAcentral.
AACGAACGCUGGCGGCAUGCCUAAUACAUGCAAGUCGAACGAUCACUUCGGUGGUAGUGGCGCACGGGUGCGUAACGCGUGGGAAUCUGCCCUUGGGUUCGGAAUAACAUCUGGAAACGGAUGCUAAUACCGGAUGAUGACGUAAGUCCAAAGAUUUAUCGCCCAGGGAUGAGCCCGCGUAGGAUUAGCUAGUUGGUGGGGUAAAGGCCUACCAAGGCGACGAUCCUUAGCUGGUCUGAGAGGAUGAUCAGCCACACUGGGACUGAGACACGGCCCAGACUCCUACGGGAGGCAGCAGUAGGGAAUAUUGGACAAUGGGGGCAACCUUGAUCCAGCAAAGCCGCGUGAGUGAUGAAGGCCUUAGGGUUGUAAAGCUCUUUUACCCGGGAUGAUAAUGACAGUACCGGGAGAAUAAGCCCCGGCUAACUCCGUGCCAGCCGCCGCGGUAA